CCUGAGCAUAUUUUUGAAGAUGAAAAUCUAUAAAUUCUGAUAAUUUGGAUGUUAAAGAAUCUAUUCCACUAAUGAUUGGUCUACCUGGAGGACUGGUUGUCGAUUUAUGCACUUUAGGCAAAAAAUUAAAAGUCGGAAUUCUAGGAGUAUCUGAAUAUAGGAAUGAGAAAUUCUUUUCGUCAAUAAUACCUUCUUCCUUAUAUUUAGUAAGUAGCAACUUUAACUCACCAUUAAAAGUCGCAUUCGGGUUAGAGGAUAAUUUUUUAUAAGUGGUAGUGUCACCCAAAAGUCUAUUAGAUUCUUUGAGAUAAUAUUCUGUGGACAUGACCACAGUACCUCCUCCCUUAUCUGCACUCUUAAUAGUGAUAUCUCUACGAUCUUUCAAACAUUCUAAUGUUUUGUUUUCUUCUCUGGUUAAAUUAAAAUUUCUCAUUUUAAAAUCCAAUUUAUUUAUAUCUUUAUUAACCAUUUUUGAAAAGGCCUCUAUCUGGUGUCCUCUUUCAUUAGGGAAAAAAGUAGAUUUCGGUUUAAAAGUGGAUUUUGGGGAACUAUUUAAUUUAUAAUUUCUGUUGUAAAAAC
This is a non-coding RNA of Pelobates cultripes (western spadefoot toad), 579 nucleotides long. The record is from the annotation of a GenBank genome assembly. NCBI's taxonomy places the organism in Eukaryota, Metazoa, Chordata, Amphibia, Anura, Pelobatidae.